This 390-nucleotide transfer-messenger RNA is filed under the name Alphaproteobacteria bacterium. It matches the Rfam family "Alphaproteobacteria transfer-messenger RNA". Rfam says of the family: Bacterial tmRNA, also known as 10Sa RNA or SsrA, is named for its dual tRNA and mRNA-like properties. Its role is to liberate the mRNA from a stalled ribosome. To accomplish this part of the tmRNA is used as a reading frame that ends in a translation stop signal. The record is from RNAcentral. Lineage: Bacteria; Pseudomonadati; Pseudomonadota; Alphaproteobacteria.
CCGCUUUGCUUUUUCCCGAAAAUAGGCUAUAUUAAAGAAGUCAGCCGCAAGGCCGACUAUGACGAUAAACGCGCUGUGAAAUAGGCGAUACGGACCCGGGGGCGGUACCCGGCGGCUCCACCAUCUACAAAGGUUUUGCGGAACAGAGUUCUUUCGCAUCCGGUAUGGGGCCGAAAUAGGAUCGACGUGCGUAAUAAAGAUGGUUGCUUUCGUCCGGCAUUGUACCGCCGUUAUCGGGCUACUUUGAUAAAUGCUAACGACAAUCAGCCGGCAACGGCAGAACUCCGCCUCGUCGCUUAACAGCACGUCAGCGUAGUUGGCAUUCAAUUCCCUAGGUAGUGAUACUUAGGGUGGGGCGCGGGGCGGGCCUAGCAACAGAACCGCCCCAUU